RNAcentral lists this ribosomal RNA (3046 nucleotides) under Candidatus Aerophobetes bacterium Ae_b3b. RNAcentral's name for it is "23S ribosomal RNA". It matches the Rfam family "Bacterial large subunit ribosomal RNA". Lineage: Bacteria; Candidatus Aerophobota. The record is from RNAcentral.
GUCAAACUACUAAGAGAGUAAGAUGGAUACCUUGGUACUAGGAGGCGAAGAAGGACGUGGUAGGCUGCGAUAAGCCUCGGGGAGCCGUCAAACAGGCUUUGAGCCGGGGAUUUCCGAAUGGAGCAAUCCAGUACGGAUAAUGCCGUACUACUUACAUCUGAAUCCAUAGGAUGUAAGAGCGAACCAGGGGAACUGAAACAUCUUAGUACCCUGAGGAAAAGAAAGAAAAUUCGAUUCCCCCAGUAGCGGCGAGCGAAAAGGGAAGAGCCUAAACUGUAUAGGUGUCAAGCCUGUAGGUGUUGCCUAUGCAGGGUUGUAGGUUUGGUGAGUGCUAAUAUCUACAGUGAGGCGGAUGGAAUUUAUCUUCUAGAGGAAUGGUACUGGAAAGGCUAGCCAGAGAAGGUAAUAGCCCUGUACUCGAAAGAAGGUGAAUUUCGUCUUCAUCAGACCUGAGUACCAUCGGACACGAGAAAUCCGGUGGGAAUCUGGGAGGAUCACCUCCUAAGGCUAAAUACUACCUAGUGACCGAUAGUGAACAAGUACCGUGAGGGAAAGGUGAAAAGAACCCCGGGAGGGGAGUGAAAUAGAACUUGAAAUCUUACUCUUACAAGCAGUGGGAGCACUUCGGUGUGACCACGUACCUUUUGCAUAAUGGGCCGGUGAGUUACUUAAAGUAGCAAGGUUAAGGGAGAAAAACUUCCGGAGCCGUAGCGAAAGCGAGUCCUAAUAGGGCGCCAAGUUGCUUUAAGUAGACCCGAAACCAGGUGAUCUACCCAAGGCCAGGGUGAAGUACAUUUAACCAUGUACGGAGGCCCGAACGCACUGACGUUGAAAAGUCAGGCGAUGAGCUUUGGGUCGGAGUGAAAGGCUAAUCAAACCUGGCGAUAGCUGGUUCUCCCCGAAAUAGCUUUAGGGCUAGCCUUGCGUUUGGAUAGCGGGGGUAGAGCACUGAAUGAUAAAGGAGCCUUCGGGCUUCUUUACUCAAUCAAACUCCGAAUACCGCUAUAUCCUUAGCGCAGGAGUCAGACUGUGGGGGAUAAGCCCCAUAGUCGAGAGGGAAAGAGCCCAGACCGUCGGUUAAGGUCUCCAAUGCAGGCUAAGUGGGAAAGGAUGUGAGAUUACUUAGAUAGCCAGGAGGUUGGCUCAGAGGCAGCCAUCCUUUAAAGAGUGCGUAAAAGCUCACUGGGUUAGUGAUCUUGCUCCGAAAAUUUAACGAGGCUCAAGUCUGCUACCGAAACCACGGGAGUAAAGUUUUUUGCAGAUAGUGAGUGGUUGUUGGUUUUACCGACGGCUACUCAUUAAUAGCUGCAAAGCAAAGCUUUGCUCGGUAGGGGAGCAUUCUACAUUAGGUUGAAGGGGAACCGAAAGGUACCUGGACGAAGUAGAAGAGAUGAUGCCGGCAUGAGUAACGAAACAAGGAAGAGUAACCCUUGCGCCGAAAGCCUAAGGUUUCCUGGGGAAGGCUAAUCCGCCCAGGGUAAGUCGGUCCUAAGCCGAGGCAUAUUGCGUAGGCGAUGGGCAGCCGGGUAGAAAAUUCCGGCACCACCUGGAUAGUGCUAAGUGAAGGGGUGACAUGGAGAGGUAGGCCUGCAUGGGAUUGAUUGUCCAUGUCCAAGCAGUUGAGGAGAUCGCUCAGGUAAAUCCAAGCGAUCGUUAAUCCCAAGCUGUGAUGGGGACCUCUUUUUAAUGAGGGAAGUGGUUGAUCCUUUCCAUCAAGAAAAACCUCUAAGCGAUAUAUUCAGGUGUCCGUACCGCAAACUGACACAGGUAGGCUGGCUGAGAAUGCUAAGGCGCUCGAGCGAACCCUCGUUAAGGAACUCGGCAAAUUAGCCCCGUAACUUCGGGAGAAGGGGUGCCCCAUUAGCGUUGUAUCAGAUUGCUUGCAAUCUGAGAAGCGCGAAGGGGUUGCAACAAAGAGGCCCAAGCGACUGUUUACUAAAAACACAGGUCUCUGCUAACUCGAAAGAGGAUGUAUAGGGACUGAAGUCUGAUCAGUGCUGGAAGGUUAAGGGGAGGACUGCAAGGUCCAAACCGAAGCCCCAGUUAACAUCGGCUCUAACUAUAAGAGUCCUAAGGUAGCGAAAUUCCUUGUCGGGUAAGUUCCGACCCGCAUGAAUGACGUAACGACUUGGGCACUGUCUCAACGAGGGACUCGGUGAAAUUGUAUUAUCGGUGAAGAUACCGAUUAUCCGCGGCAGGACGGAAAGACCCCGGGACCUUUACUGCAGUCUGGCAUUGGGUCUUGACGUAAUCUAUAUAGCAUAGGUGGGAGGCUGAGAAGGGAAGGCGCUAGCUUUCCUGGAGCCGUCAGUGGAAUACCACCUUUGUUACGUUUAGGUUCUAACCCGCAUCCGUUAUCCGGAUGGGGGACAGUGCUUGAUGGGCAGUUUGACUGGGGCGGUUGCCUCCUAAAAAGUAACGGAGGCGUCCAAAGGUUCCCUCAGCGCGUAUAGAAAUCGCGUUAAGAGUAUAAAGGCAUAAGGGAGCUUAACUGCGAGAGAGACAUCUCGAGCAGAUGCGAAAGCAGGGCUUAGUGAUCCGGCGAUUCUGAGUGAGAGGGUCGUCGCUCAACGGCUAAAAGGUACCCCGGGGAUAACAGGCUUAUCUCCUCCGAGAGUUCCCAUCGACGAGGAGGUUUGGCACCUCGAUGUCGGCUCGUCGCAUCCUGGGGCGGUAGCCCGUCCCAAGGGUUAGUCUGUUCGCCUAUUAAAGCGGCACGCGAGCUGGGUUUAGACCGUCGUAAGACAGGUCGGUCCUUAUCCGCCGUGGACGUAAGAGAUUUGAGGGGAGCUGUCCCUAGUACGAGAGGACCGGGAUGGACAGACCUCUGGUGUACCAGUUGUCACGUCAGUGGCAUCGCUGGGUAGCUAUGUCUGGACGGGAUAACCGCUGAAAGCAUCUAAGCGGGAAGCCCCCCCCAAGACUAGAUCUCUCACUCACGCAAGUGAGGUAAGGCUCCUGGCAGACUACCAGGUUGAUAGGCCAGUGGUGUAAGCACGGUAACGUGUUCAGCCUACUGGUACUAAUAAGCCGAGGGUUUGACUUU